RNAcentral lists this ribosomal RNA (301 nucleotides) under uncultured bacterium. Its description in RNAcentral is "partial 16S ribosomal RNA". It matches the Rfam family "Bacterial small subunit ribosomal RNA", at positions 509 to 809 of the family's 1533-position model. The record is from RNAcentral.
CAGUCGCCACGGUAAGACAGAGGAUGCAAGCGUUAUCCGGAAUGAUUGGGCGUAAAGCGUCUGUAGGUGGCUUUUCAAGUCCGCCAUCAAAUCCCAAGGCUCAACCCUGGACAGGCGGUGGAAAAUACCAAGCUGGAGUACGGUAGGGGCAGAGGGAAUUUCCGGCGGAGCGGUGAAAUGCGUUGAGAUUGGAAAGAACACCAACGGUGAAAGCACUCUGCUGGCCCGACACUGACACUGAGAGACGAAAGCUAGGGGAGCAAAUGGGAUUAGAUACCCCCGUAGUCCCUGUCUCUUAUAA